Molecule: ribosomal RNA, 1418 nt
Filed under: bacterium NLAE-zl-P462
Lineage: Bacteria
Description: bacterial SSU rRNA
Rfam family: Bacterial small subunit ribosomal RNA
Source: RNAcentral
UCNGGCUUACCAUGCAAGUCGAGGGGCAGCAUGGUCUUAGCUUGCUAAGGCCGAUGGCGACCGGCGCACGGGUGAGUAACACGUAUCCAACCUGCCGUCUACUCUUGGACAGCCUUCUGAAAGGAAGAUUAAUACAAGAUGGCAUCAUGAGUCCGCAUGUUCACAUGAUUAAAGGUAUUCCGGUAGACGAUGGGGAUGCGUUCCAUUAGAUAGUAGGCGGGGUAACGGCCCACCUAGUCUUCGAUGGAUAGGGGUUCUGAGAGGAAGGUCCCCCACAUUGGAACUGAGACACGGUCCAAACUCCUACGGGAGGCAGCAGUGAGGAAUAUUGGUCAAUGGGCGAGAGCCUGAACCAGCCAAGUAGCGUGAAGGAUGACUGCCCUAUGGGUUGUAAACUUCUUUUAUAAAGGAAUAAAGUCGGGUAUGNAUACCCGUUUGCAUGUNCUUUAUGAAUAAGGAUCGGCUAACUCCGUGCCAGCAGCCGCGGUAAUACGGAGGAUCCGAGCGUUAUCCGGAUUUAUUGGGUUUAAAGGGAGCGUAGAUGGAUGUUUAAGUCAGUUGUGAAAGUUUGCGGCUCAACCGUAAAAUUGCAGUUGAUACUGGAUAUCUUGAGUGCAGUUGAGGCAGGCGGAAUUCGUGGUGUAGCGGUGAAAUGCUUAGAUAUCACGAAGAACUCCGAUUGCGAAGGCAGCCUGCUAAGCUGCAACUGACAUUGAGGCUCGAAAGUGUGGGUAUCAAACAGGAUUAGAUACCCUGGUAGUCCACACGGUAAACGAUGAAUACUCGCUGUUUGCGAUAUACGGCAAGCGGCCAAGCGAAAGCGUUAAGUAUUCCACCUGGGGAGUACGCCGGCAACGGUGAAACUCAAAGGAAUUGACGGGGGCCCGCACAAGCGGAGGAACAUGUGGUUUAAUUCGAUGAUACGCGAGGAACCUUACCCGGGCUUAAAUUGCAGAUGAAUUACGGUGAAAGCCGUAAGCCGCAAGGCAUCUGUGAAGGUGCUGCAUGGUUGUCGUCAGCUCGUGCCGUGAGGUGUCGGCUUAAGUGCCAUAACGAGCGCAACCCUUGUUGUCAGUUACUAACAGGUUCCGCUGAGGACUCUGACAAGACUGCCAUCGUAAGAUGUGAGGAAGGUGGGGAUGACGUCAAAUCAGCACGGCCCUUACGUCCGGGGCUACACACGUGUUACAAUGGGGGGUACAGAGGGCCGCUACCACGCGAGUGGAUGCCAAUCCCAAAAACCUCUCUCAGUUCGGACUGGAGUCUGCAACCCGACUCCACGAAGCUGGAUUCGCUAGUAAUCGCGCAUCAGCCACGGCGCGGUGAAUACGUUCCCGGGCCUUGUACACACCGCCCGUCAAGCCAUGGGAGCCGGGGGUACCUGAAGUGCGUAACCGCGAGAGCGCCCUAGGNAAUUG